This 292-nucleotide ribosomal RNA is filed under the name uncultured Acidobacteriota bacterium. Its description in RNAcentral is "uncultured Acidobacteria bacterium partial 16S ribosomal RNA". The record is from RNAcentral. Lineage: Bacteria; Pseudomonadati; Acidobacteriota.
GGACUACACGGGUAUCUAAUCCUGUUUGCUCCCCUAGCUUUCGUCAUUCAGCGUCAGUUAUGGUCCAGCGCGCCGCUUUCGCCACGGGUGUUCCUGCAGAUAUCUACGCAUUUCACCGCUACACCUGCAAUUCCACGCGCCUCUCCCAUACUCCAGCACAGCAGUUUUGGAAGCAGCCUAUGGGUUGAGCCCAGAGAUUUCACUCCCAACUUACCACACCGCCUACUGACCCUUUACACCCAGUAAUUCCGAACAACGCUGGCCCCCUACGUCUUACCGCGGCUGCUGGCAC